This 439-nucleotide ribosomal RNA is filed under the name uncultured bacterium. RNAcentral describes it as "bacterial SSU rRNA". It matches the Rfam family "Bacterial small subunit ribosomal RNA", at positions 59 to 518 of the family's 1533-position model. The record is from RNAcentral.
AAGUUAGGAACGGGUAUUUACAAGGGUAGCUUGCUAUUUUGGAUGAGAGUGGCGCACGGGUGAGUAAUACGUGGGAACAUACCUAUUGGUUCGGAACAACUGAUGGAAACGUCAGCUAAUACCGGAUAAGCCCUGAGGGGGAAAGAUUUAUUGCCGAUAGAAUGGCCCGCGGCAGAUUAGGCAGUUGGUGGGGUAAAGGCCUACCAAACCUACGAUCUGUAGCUGGUCUGAGAGGACGAUCAGCCACAUUGGGACUGAGACACGGCCCAGACUCCUACGGGAGGCAGCAGUGAGGAAUAUUGGGCAAUGGGGGAAACCCUGAACCCCCAGCCAUGCCGCGUGAGUGAAGAAGGUUUUCGGAUUGUAAAGCUCUUUCGGGAGAGAAGAUGAUGACGGUAUCUCCAGAAGAAGCCCCGGCAAACUUCGUGCCAGCCGCGGC